Long non-coding RNA from Bombyx mori (domestic silkworm), 528 nucleotides. RefSeq lists it as uncharacterized. NCBI's taxonomy places the organism in Eukaryota, Metazoa, Arthropoda, Insecta, Lepidoptera, Bombycidae. The transcript has 2 exons. The record is from RefSeq and is a predicted model, not a curated record.
UGCCAAUUCUAAUGUGAAACAUAUUUUGUUGUCUGUAAUUUACUGGUUAAUAUUGUGACCGUGUUAUUUUUAAUAUUUUAUUAAUCAUCAUCAUCAGCCCAUAGACUUCCACUGCUGGACAUUGGUCUUUCCCAAUCGACACCCUUUGAAGGUCAUUGCACUGCAAAAUUAAGGAGUGUCCCACAUUAAGUUUGCUGCUAUACAGUCUUCUCUAAAUUUUACUAUGAGUGUCAAUAAUUUUGAUUCUCUAUUUCUAUCAAGGCAAUCAGUAAAAUAUCGAAAUCUCAAAUAGCCCUGAUAAGCACUUGAAAUUUACUACCCCUAUGUGGAUAAAUACGGAAAUAAGGAACAAAAAGAGAAUGUAAUUCGAACCAAGUAUAAUCACAGCAAAAUACCAGAGAUGUACAGUGUGGACAAAAUGUAUUAAACUGUUGUCUUGCAUAAUGAUAUAGAUCACUGCCAUUUGAACUUUACCAAAUGUGUAUAAUAAUAUCUGACCUGAAUUAAUAAAACAUUUAAAUAACUUAA